RNAcentral lists this ribosomal RNA (409 nucleotides) under Actinomycetes bacterium. RNAcentral describes it as "Actinobacteria bacterium partial 16S ribosomal RNA". It matches the Rfam family "Bacterial small subunit ribosomal RNA", at positions 355 to 776 of the family's 1533-position model. The record is from RNAcentral. Lineage: Bacteria; Bacillati; Actinomycetota; Actinomycetes.
UGGGGAAUAUUGCACAAUGGGCGGAAGCCUGAUGCAGCGACGCCGCGUGGGGGAUGAACGCCUUCGGGUUGUAAACUCCUUUCGACAGGGACGAUGCUUUUGUGACGGUACCUGUAUAAGAAGCACCGGCUAACUACGUGCCCGCAGCCGCGGUAAUACGUAGGGUGCGCGCGUUGUCCGGAAUUACUGGGCGUAAAGAGCUCGUAGGUGGUUUGUCGCGUCGUCUGUGAAAUUCCGGGGCUUAACUCCGGGCGUGCAGGCGAUACGGGCUGUCUUGAGUGCUGUAGGCGAGACUGGAAUUCCUAGUGUAGCGGUGAAAUGCGCAGUUAUCAGGAGGAACACCGAUUGCGAAGGCAGGUCUCUGGGCAGUAACUGACGCUGAGGAGCGAAAGCAUGGGUAGCGAACAAG